This 74-nucleotide transfer RNA is filed under the name Thermoproteus tenax Kra 1. Its description in RNAcentral is "tRNA-Cys (GCA) (tRNA-Cys-GCA-1-1)". It matches the Rfam family "tRNA". From Rfam's summary of the family: Transfer RNA (tRNA) molecules are approximately 80 nucleotides in length. Their secondary structure includes four short double-helical elements and three loops (D, anti-codon, and T loops). Further hydrogen bonds mediate the characteristic L-shaped molecular structure. tRNAs have two regions of fundamental functional importance: the anti-codon, which is responsible for specific mRNA codon recognition, and the 3' end, to which the tRNAs corresponding amino acid is attached (by aminoacyl-tRNA synthetases). tRNAs cope with the degeneracy of the genetic code in two manners: having more than one tRNA (with a specific anti-codon) for a particular amino acid; and 'wobble' base-pairing, i.e. permitting non-standard base-pairing at the 3rd anti-codon position. The record is from RNAcentral. Lineage: Archaea; Thermoproteati; Thermoproteota; Thermoprotei; Thermoproteales; Thermoproteaceae.
GCCGCCGUAGCUAAGCCCGGCAUAGCGGCGGGCUGCAGACCCGUAGGUCCCGGGUUCAAAUCCCGGCGGCGGCU